UACGUAGGUGGCGAACGUUAUUCGGAUUUACUGGGCGUAAAGCGGGUGUAGACGGCUAUUUAAGUCGAAUGUGAAAUCUCCUGACUUAAUCAGGAGAAGUCGUUCGAUACUGAGUGGCUUGAGGGCAGCAGAGGAAGACGGAAUUCCCGGUGUAGCGGUGAAAUGCGUAGAUAUCGGGAGGAAUACCAGUGGCGAAGGCGGUCUUCUAGGCUGUUCCUGACGUUGAGGCCCAAAAGCGUGGGGAGCAAAACGG
RNAcentral lists this ribosomal RNA (253 nucleotides) under uncultured microorganism. Its description in RNAcentral is "partial small subunit ribosomal RNA". It matches the Rfam family "Bacterial small subunit ribosomal RNA", at positions 524 to 776 of the family's 1533-position model. The record is from RNAcentral.